Rhincodon typus (whale shark) is the source of this 1476-nucleotide long non-coding RNA. RefSeq lists it as uncharacterized. Lineage: Eukaryota; Metazoa; Chordata; Chondrichthyes; Orectolobiformes; Rhincodontidae. The record is from RefSeq and is a predicted model, not a curated record. The transcript is spliced from 5 exons.
GUAAAACUGGCGGCGGCAGGACAAAUCACAUGGCGGCGGCGGCUGCCUGAUGGACGGGCGGGCGGGCCAAUGGGAAGAGAGCGCCGCCGACCGCCUGCCUAAGCUGAUCAAAAAUUCCCAUCGGAAAUGCUUGCUCGUUUCGCAGAAUGGCAGAACCAAGGAGAUGCAACCAGGCAUGGUGUGGAUGGAUUGUUGCGAAAGGCACACAAAGCUAGAAUCAUAAGGAAACUGCUGGUCGUUUGAAUGACGAGGUACCAUGGCAUUUCUGGCUAAAAGUCCUAACAGAAGAAUUCGCAGAAAACAUCCCUACCGGAAGGAUCAGUGAAAGAAAGGUGUUUAUGACUGGAGAGACAGCAGAGAAGGCAGAACAUUCCAGCAGACAUAGACUCUCAAAGUCCAUAGAGGUUCCAGGCUGAAGUUACUAUGAAGGAUUCACCUUCUCAACCUCUUCCCAUGUACUCCAGUGAUCAGGAAGCUGCUUCAGCCUCGAGAGGAGGAACAAUAGCUCGGCAGCCGAAUCCAGAUUUGGCGGGAGAUAAGGGGGCCUGCAGUUGGGUACAACUGGAGACCCCGAGUCCAGCACUGCACUGUGAUACCAACUAGGUGUGUGUGCUCUGAGAUGGGCUUUAUGCGUGCCCGGUGUGAGCGGUUCGCGAGAGGAAUUCAAGGAUGCAAACCAGAAGUAGGCCCCGCACACAAAGCAGUCCUUGAGCCAAGGCCACAAGAAAGGGAAAGAAGAUCAAUCAGAUUUACUGAUUGAGAGAAACGUUCCUGCAGACACCUCCGAGUCAAGGACUCCGUGAACCCUCCACACCAAGAGUGACCCUCGCAACCACUGAACACCAUCAAUUGACCACAAACCUCCACUUGAUAUCUGGAGGCGACCGAGAGCGUCCAGAGACACCAGACACUGACCAAGGCAACACCAGCAACAUCCACGACCAUCCGAGACAACAACCUGCUCGCAAGGACCACCAAGAAGGAAAAGGAACCCAAGGUACUCACCCAUCGGGUCCACUGUGCCCAACCGCAUCAGCGGACACCACCAGACUGACUGUUAGUAGCACUUGUGGCCCUUCGCGAAGUCCCAGUUACAGCAAGAGACUAUGGACAAGAGCCUGUUGAAAUCAUAUUUUCAUUCUAGGGGUGAGCCUAAGGUCAUUGAGACCCUCUAACCCAGCUUGGCUAGUCUUAGACAGGGGAAGGUGGGGUUCAGGAACUAAUGGUGUAGGGCACUCCUAAGGAAGGGAAGUAAUCCCUAGCUCUCUCUCUUCUCCCUGUUAGCACAGAUGCAGUGGGUGGCUGUUGCUUAUGUACCCACUGCAUCAAAUCUUGGCUGUAAGGCUUAACUGGGGGUCAAGUUAACUGGGAGACAGGUCUCAGUCAGUAAUAGACGGGUUUGAUAUUCACUUUCUUGUUCUCCUGUAAAUAUAUUCAAUUUGCUUGUUUUUCAAUAAAAUCAGAGUUUUCUUUGCC